Molecule: transfer RNA, 79 nt
Filed under: Actinoplanes lobatus
Lineage: Bacteria; Bacillati; Actinomycetota; Actinomycetes; Micromonosporales; Micromonosporaceae
Description: tRNA-OTHER
Source: RNAcentral
GGGUGUUUGUGCCGGUAGAUCAAGUUGGGUUUUCGAUCUCAUAAUCCCUCGGUCGCGGGUUCGAGUCCCGCCCGCCCCA